RNAcentral lists this microRNA precursor (75 nucleotides) under Nomascus leucogenys (northern white-cheeked gibbon). Its description in RNAcentral is "miRNA (ENSNLEG00000033318.1)". Lineage: Eukaryota; Metazoa; Chordata; Mammalia; Primates; Hylobatidae. The record is from RNAcentral.
UGGUGCAAAAGUAAUUGUGGUUUUUGCCAUUGAGAGUAAUGACAAAAUCCGCAAUUACUUUUGUACCAACCUAAU